ACUAACGCUGGCAGUGUGCCUUACACAUGCAAGUCGGACGGAGGACUUCGGUCCUUAGUGGCAAACGGGUGAGUAAUGGAUAGGUUAUCUACCGGGAAGAGGGGGAUACCCCUUCGAAAGAAGGAUCAAUACCCCGUACGCUCCUUACGGAGGAAAGGUGGUGCAAGCCACCGCUUCCUGAUGAGCCUAUCUCCUAUCAGCUAGUUGGUAAGGUAAUGGCUUACCAAGGCGAUGACGGGUAGCUGGUCUGAGAGGAUGAUCAGCCACACUGGAACUGAGACACGGUCCAGACUCCUACGGGAGGCAGCAGUGAGGAAUUUUUGGCAAUGAGCGAAAGCUUGACCCAGCGACACUGCGUGGGCGAAGAAGAUCUUUGGAUUGUAAAGCCCUUUUGUUGGGGAGUAAGCGAAUGCGCAGGAAAUGGCGUGUUCGUUGCAAGUACCCGACGAAUAAGCCCCAGCCAACUACGU
Molecule: ribosomal RNA, 470 nt
Filed under: uncultured bacterium
Lineage: Bacteria
Description: bacterial SSU rRNA
Rfam family: Bacterial small subunit ribosomal RNA
Source: RNAcentral